RNAcentral lists this ribosomal RNA (391 nucleotides) under Rhacophorus malabaricus. RNAcentral describes it as "partial 12S ribosomal RNA". The record is from RNAcentral. Lineage: Eukaryota; Metazoa; Chordata; Amphibia; Anura; Rhacophoridae.
CACAUGACAAGUCUCAGCAGACCAGUGAAGACGCCCCCCCACUAGGGCGUGGAGUUGGCAUCAGGCACAGAAUUCUAGCCCAUAACGCCUAGUCUCACCACACCUCCAAAGGUACUCAGCAGUGAUAAAGAUUGUUUAUAAGCGCAAGCUUGAGUCAGUUAGGGGAAAGAGGGCCGGCCAAUCCGGUGCCAGCCGCCGCGGCUACACCGGAGGCCCGAGUUGAUUUGGAACGGCGUUAAGCGUGAUUAGGGAGUAUAAAAAUUAGGAUUAAAUUCAAGCUUAGCUGUGAUAAUCUUGCUACUUAGAAACCCAGGAACGAAAGNNNCCUAAUAUUCCUCUUGAAUACACGACAGUUUGGGUACAAACUGGGAUUAGUAGAUACCCCACUAUG